RNAcentral lists this ribosomal RNA (1006 nucleotides) under human gut metagenome. RNAcentral's name for it is "bacterial SSU rRNA". It matches the Rfam family "Bacterial small subunit ribosomal RNA", at positions 380 to 1391 of the family's 1533-position model. The record is from RNAcentral.
AGCCUGAUGCAGCGACGCCGCGUGAGGGAUGGAGGCCUUCGGGUUGUAAACCUCUUUUGUUAGGGAGCAAGGCACUUUGUGUUGAGUGUACCUUUCGAAUAAGCACCGGCUAACUACGUGCCAGCAGCCGCGGUAAUACGUAGGGUGCAAGCGUUAUCCGGAAUUAUUGGGCGUAAAGGGCUCGUAGGCGGUUCGUCGCGUCCGGUGUGAAAGUCCAUCGCUUAACGGUGGAUCCGCGCCGGGUACGGGCGGGCUUGAGUGCGGUAGGGGAGACUGGAAUUCCCGGUGUAACGGUGGAAUGUGUAGAUAUCGGGAAGAACACCAAUGGCGAAGGCAGGUCUCUGGGCCGUUACUGACGCUGAGGAGCGAAAGCGUGGGGAGCGAACAGGAUUAGAUACCCUGGUAGUCCACGCCGUAAACGGUGGAUGCUGGAUGUGGGGCCCGUUCCACGGGUUCCGUGUCGGAGCUAACGCGUUAAGCAUCCCGCCUGGGGAGUACGGCCGCAAGGCUAAAACUCAAAGAAAUUGACGGGGGCCCGCACAAGCGGCGGAGCAUGCGGAUUAAUUCGAUGCAACGCGAAGAACCUUACCUGGGCUUGACAUGUUCCCGACGGCCCCAGAGAUGGGGUUUCCCUUCGGGGCGGGUUCACAGGUGGUGCAUGGUCGUCGUCAGCUCGUGUCGUGAGAUGUUGGGUUAAGUCCCGCAACGAGCGCAACCCUCGCCCCGUGUUGCCAGCGGAUUAUGCCGGGAACUCACGGGGGACCGCCGGGGUUAACUCGGAGGAAGGUGGGGAUGACGUCAGAUCAUCAUGCCCCUUACGUCCAGGGCUUCACGCAUGCUACAAUGGCCGGUACAACGGGAUGCGACAGUGCGAGCUGGAGCGGAUCCCUGAAAACCGGUCUCAGUUCGGAUCGCAGUCUGCAACUCGACUGCGUGAAGGCGGAGUCGCUAGUAAUCGCGAAUCAGCAACGUCGCGGUGAAUGCGUUCCCGGGCCUUGUACACACC